UCUUUAUUCAAGAAGAGAGGUUUACAUGGAGCUCAGAGCACAUAUAACUUCUUUAUUUAUGCAGCAAGAAUGCUUUAUAUACAAAAAUGGAAAGAUACUCUAAUUCCCACAAUGGAUGAAUGGCUGGAAAAAUUGAUGGAACUGGCAGAGAUAGCAAAAUUGACUGCUUUAAUCAAAGAAAGAAUACAUUUGACUUUGUUUCUCCUUGGAAACCACUUCUGGAUUUUGUGCUUGAGAUGGGGGGAAAAAUGAAAUUUUGACUUUGGAUUUUGCUGCUUAGAUAAAUUUGUUGUUAUAGAAAUGGCUAGUACAUGUUAAGUAUGUAAAAAUAAAAAAAUGAGGCUGUAAUUCACUAUCUUAUUCUAUUGUGCUAAAAAGAGUUGGAAGUCAAUGUUCUUCUUUUCUUUUUUUCUCUUUACACUUCUCUUCCCUUUUUUCUUCCCCAUUUCCUCACUAUUUUCACUUUCUAUCUUGAUAAACUUAAUAAAAUUAUUAUUAAUGUA
This is a long non-coding RNA of Pantherophis guttatus, 503 nucleotides long. RefSeq lists it as uncharacterized. The record is from RefSeq and is a predicted model, not a curated record. NCBI's taxonomy places the organism in Eukaryota, Metazoa, Chordata, Lepidosauria, Squamata, Colubridae.